GGGGAAUAUUGCGCAAUGGGGGAAACCCUGACGCAGCAAUACCGCGUGAGUGAAGAAGGUUUUCGGAUCGUAAAGCUCUGUUAUUGGGGAAGAAAAAAAGACGGUACCCAAGAAGAAAGUCCCGGCUAACUACGUGCCAGCAGCCGCGGUAAUACGAAGGGGGCUAGCGUUGCUCGGAAUUACUGGGCGUAAAGGGCGCGUAGGCGGAUCGUUAAGUCAGAGGUGAAAUCCCAGGGCUCAACCCUGGAACUGCCUUUGAUACUGGCGAUCUUGAGUAGGAGAGAGGUAUGUGGAACUCCGAGUGUAGAUGUGAAAUUCGUAGAUAUUCGGAAGAACACCAGUGGCGAAGGCGACAUACUGGCUCAUUACUGACGCUGAGGCGCGAAAGCGUGGGGAGCAAACA
Molecule: ribosomal RNA, 403 nt
Filed under: uncultured bacterium
Lineage: Bacteria
Description: bacterial SSU rRNA
Rfam family: Bacterial small subunit ribosomal RNA
Source: RNAcentral